This 328-nucleotide unclassified non-coding RNA is filed under the name soil metagenome. RNAcentral describes it as "partial contains 5.8S ribosomal RNA, internal transcribed spacer 2, and large subunit ribosomal RNA". The stretch from base 4 to 118 matches the Rfam family "5.8S ribosomal RNA", at positions 40 to 154 of the family's 154-position model. The record is from RNAcentral.
GAUGGAACGUAGCGAAAUGCGAUAAGUAAUGUGAAUUGCAGAAUUCAGUGAAUCAUCGAAUCUUUGAACGCACAUUGCGCCCCUUGGUAUUCCGAGGGGCAUGCCUGUUCGAGCGUCAUUAUAACCCCUCAAGCUUAGCUUGGUGUUGGGGCCUGCUGUAAUAGAGCAGCCCUUAAAAUCAGUGGCGGUGCCAUUAGGCUCUAAGCGUAGUAAUUCUUCUCGCUAUAGGGUUCUGGUGGAUGCUUGCCAUUAACCUCUAAUUUUCUAUGGUUGACCUCGGAUCAGGUAGGGAUACCCGCUGAACUUAAGCAUAUCAAUAAGCGGAGGA